This 516-nucleotide ribosomal RNA is filed under the name uncultured delta proteobacterium. Its description in RNAcentral is "bacterial SSU rRNA". It matches the Rfam family "Bacterial small subunit ribosomal RNA", at positions 37 to 527 of the family's 1533-position model. The record is from RNAcentral. Lineage: Bacteria; Deltaproteobacteria.
UGGCGGCGUGCUUACACAUGCAAGUCGCACGAGAACUCUUCUGCUUGCAGAAGAUAGUAAAGUGGCGCACGGGUGAGUAACGCGUGGGUAAUCUACCUCUGAAUUGGGGAUAACAUUGUGAAAGCGAUGCUAAUACCGAAUAAUAUCCCGAGAACUUAGGCUUUUGGGAUCAAAGGUGGCCUCUACAUGUAAGCUACUGUUUAGAGAUGAGCCCGCGUACCAUUAGCUUGUUGGUAGGGUAAUGGCCUACCAAGGCAACGAUGGUUAGCUGGUCUGAGAGGAUGAUCAGCCACACUGGAACUGACACACGGUCCAGACUCCUACGGGAGGCAGCAGUGAGGAAUUUUGCGCAAUGGGGGAAACCCUGACGCAGCAACGCCGCGUGAGUGAUGAAGGCUUUCGAGUCGUAAAGCUCUGUCAAGUGAGAAGAACCUACUUUUUGUUAAUACCAUUAAGUACUGACGGUAUCACUGAAGGAAGCACCGGCUAACUCCGUGCCAGCAGCCGCGUAAUACG